GACGAACGCUGGCGGCGUGCUUAACACAUGCAAGUCGAACGAUGAAGCUGGAGCUUGCUCUAGCGGAUUAGUGGCGAACGGGUGAGUAACACGUGAGCAAUCUGCCCUUGACUCUGGGAUAACUGCGGGAAACUGUAGCUAAUACCGGAUACUUUCACCGGGGGGCAUCCUCUGGUGAUGAAAGAAUUUCGGUCAAGGAUGAGCUCGCGGCCUAUCAGCUUGUUGGUGAGGUAACGGCUCACCAAGGCGACGACGGGUAACCGGCCUGAGAGGGUGGCCGGUCACACUGGGACUGAGACACGGCCCAGACUCCUACGGGAGGCAGCAGUAGGGAAUCUUCCGCAAUGGACGAAAGUCUGACGGAGCAACGCCGCGUGAGGGAUGAAGGUCCUCGGAUCGUAAACCUCUUUUGACAGGGAAGCACUCGCAAGAGUGGACGGUACCUGUAGAAUAAGCACCUGCUAACCAUGUGCCAGCAGCCGCCGUAA
This 488-nucleotide ribosomal RNA is filed under the name uncultured bacterium. Its description in RNAcentral is "partial 16S ribosomal RNA". It matches the Rfam family "Bacterial small subunit ribosomal RNA", at positions 28 to 523 of the family's 1533-position model. The record is from RNAcentral.